ACACGUAAUGCUUCAAAUAAUUUAAUUCGAAUGUUUGAUCUUUGCUCUGUUUUAGGGUAGAGUUUACCAAAAACCGUAAGAGCUUCCAAGUAUUAAGUAGCAAACUGAUAACAAAUUUCCAUGUUACAACAAAACGGGGGCAUCAAACAACUAAUAAAAGGGCAUCAAACAACUAACAAAAGGAAUAAGAACAUUAGAGAGAACGUCCACGUCAGCUUGGAAAAUCGUCUUUGCCACGUCAGAAAAAUACUCUCACCAAAACGCAACACCUGUCCGGUCUAUUACUGAACUCUGCGUUUAGUUAAAUCAAACUCUGUUUCUGGUAGGUCAUCCUUUUUUUUCAUCAAGCUUUUCGUCUUUCUUCGUUGAAGUCUCACGGACUCCUCCAUCUCGAGUGCUGCUUCUCACGCCGUCUAGGACCUGUCUCGAUGCCGCUGCAUCUCUGCCUCCCCUCUGGGCCUCCAACGACUCUGUGCUGCAUCUCCUCCUUUGUGAGCGGCUCUGUAUCUCCUCCUUUGACUCAUUAUACUAUGCGACUCCAGAUUUAUUUUUCUUCUCUAUCUGUCGCCGGCAAUGGUGGUUAAGCCUCUUGGAUCUGCUCUGCUCUAAGGUAUUUGCAGAUUUUCCGUCUCUUCGUUUCAUGAUUGAGAUUUUGAUUUUGAUUAUAAUUUUAAUUUACUUCUCUAUUGUCUUUUCGUGUUUGUUCAGAUUGAAUCUGAUUAUAUUUGAUUAUCAAUCUGUUAUAUUCGUGUGUGUUUGGGAAUCUGUUAGGUUCUGAUUUGAUUUAUCUGAUAUUCUUAUUGAGAGUUUGAAGAUAGGCAUGUUGUUCGAUUGUUGAUAAAUGACAUAACAGUAAAUCAGAUAUCAUAUUCAAGUUGAACCUACGUUGAUAGGCAUGUAGCCAUCACAAACAUCAUGAAGAAACCAGAUAGGCAAUAGGAUUUGAAAAUGAGAGCAGGAAUAGGCUAACAGUGGACUUAACUUGCUACUGACACUCCUCAAGGAAAAAAAUGUGUCACUGCAAGUUGCAACCAUCAAAAUUGAUAAGUUGCAUAACUUCAUCACUGUGAAUAGAUGUUGAGCAUUUAGUGUUCUGUUUUCUCUUGACAGUGACGUGUCUGUGACGUUGAGUCUGUUUGACUAGCAAGCUAUAUCUUUUCACAACAAGUCAGAAAGUCUUCGGUGAUCCUAAGGUUGUUAACAAGUAUCAACUCCAAGAUUGUAGGAGGUAUUUUUGUUUAAAUGGGAUGACUCUAAUAGUUCUUGGCCCUAAAGAAAUCAAUAUUUUGCAGGGCAUCUGUUCUUGAACGCCACAUCAGGGACCGAUAGAAUUUUUGACAAAGAGAUUAAUUUGAUCUCAGUUUGGUAGUUUACUUAUCCAUCACAUAAUUAGCGAAUUCCUGCACAACACUGUAGGCUGUUUUCCAUUGACAUUGGGAUUCCUCCAGCAUCUUCAUUACUGAGGGGCUACACUAAGCUUGAGCCUCUAACCAUAGCUGAAAUGAGUUCAUCAUCACUGCCCAGCCACAGGAUAUCGACUUCAUAUGCACCGGUAGGGGCACUGGGAUCAAGAUGGACAAAGGCUGGUGUUACGUCUCUUUCUCCAUGUGUACAAAGAAGCUUUAGCGGACUGUAUCAUCCUUCACUUGUGUCUUGUGUGGCCUGCAACAACACUAAUGUUGUUGGUGUGCUAAGAUGAGUAUUGCUGAUGAGACUGCUGAGGGCCUGUUUGUUGGCUUCGAUGGGGUAAUACUAAAUUGCAUCUCAUACGUGCAUAUGAACCUGGUCAUCUACUGGCUGGAGAGGGAGUUAACUCAGAAGAAGAAUCGGCUCGAGGGAGAGCCGAGCGUGAAGUUGCAUAGAGAGAAGUUGCUAGAGUGAGAAUGAGACAAGAGUAAGCACUUGCUCUUGGACUGUAUUUCCCGUGAUAAUGUAGAUUUUGGUAAGGUUCCUGAAUGGAUAAAGAAAAGCGAGGAGGUUUGAAAGCAAUACCAAGAUACAAACAUUGUAUGACUACGUUGAUACACUUGGAUGCUAGAAACAGAAGAGUAUAGCUUAAUCACAAACUUUCCAAGAACGGUGUAUGGAAGAGACAAAGAGUCAAUGUCACUGGAAGAUGCAGGUUUGCAUCCUCAGGCAAGUCUCUUCAUUGAGAUAAACUAAGUUUCAGAUUCUUCUGUUUCUUUCUCCUUAAGCCACUCUUUUUACAGUUUUGUUCAUCUCUUUUAAAAUAAUUAGUAGUGUUGCUUCAGUGAUCCGAUGAACAAGAUAACAUAUAUACACAUAUAUUCAGAAGUUGUGUCACAUAUUUGAUAUAUUUAGUUCUUAAAAUGAUGAGCUUUCGCAUUGUAUUUUUUUUU
Molecule: long non-coding RNA, 2360 nt
Organism: Brassica napus (rape)
Lineage: Eukaryota; Viridiplantae; Streptophyta; Magnoliopsida; Brassicales; Brassicaceae
Exons: 4
Source: RefSeq, a predicted model, not a curated record